UACAGAGGUCUCGAGCGUUGUUCGGAUUCAUUGGGCGUAAAGGGUGCGUAGGUGGCGCUGUAAGUCGGGUGUGAAAUCCUGAGGCUUAACCUCGGAACUGCAUUCGAUACUGCGGCGCUUGAGGACUGGAGAGGAGACUGGAAUUCAUGGUGUAGUGGUGAAAUACGUAGAGAUCGGAAGGAACAUCAGUGGCGAAGGCGACUGUCUGGACAGAUACUGACGCUGAGGCGCGAAAGCGUGGGGAGCAAACAGG
RNAcentral lists this ribosomal RNA (253 nucleotides) under uncultured bacterium. RNAcentral describes it as "partial 16S ribosomal RNA". It matches the Rfam family "Bacterial small subunit ribosomal RNA", at positions 524 to 776 of the family's 1533-position model. The record is from RNAcentral.